UGGGGAAUUUUGGACAAUGGGGGCAACCCUGAUCCAGCCAUGCCGCGUGCGGGAAGAAGGCCUUCGGGUUGUAAACCGCUUUUGUCAGGGAAGCGGUACCUGAAGAAUAAGCACCGGCUAACUACGUGCCAGCAGCCGCGGUAAUACGUAGGGUGCAAGCGUUAAUCGGAAUUACUGGGCGUAAAACGUGCGCAGGUGGUUGUGCAAGACAGAUGUGAAAUACCCCGGGUUAACCUGGGACUAGCAUUUUUGACUGCACGGCUAGAGUACGG
This 272-nucleotide ribosomal RNA is filed under the name uncultured bacterium. RNAcentral's name for it is "partial 16S ribosomal RNA". It matches the Rfam family "Bacterial small subunit ribosomal RNA", at positions 355 to 651 of the family's 1533-position model. The record is from RNAcentral.